GAAGUUGAUUGAACAGUCACUGUAAAAAAUAAUUAUACACAGAGGAAAGUCCGGGCUCCACAGGGUAUGGUGCCAGGUAACACCUGGGAAGAGUGAUCUUACGACUAGUACAACAGAAAAUAAACUACCUAUUAUAAUAUAUGUAAGUAUACAUUACCUGCUAUUUUAAAUAGGAAAAGGUGAAACGGUGCGGUAAAAGCGCACCGCAAAAUUGGUAACAAUUUUGGCACGGUAAACUUCCACCUGGAGCAAGGUCAAGUAGGAGAGUGUGGCCCGCACGUUACUCCGGGUAGACUGCUAUUAUGAAUUAAUAAGUAAUUAUUAAUCUAGAUAAAUGACUGUUUUAAACAGAACCCGGCUUAUAAGUCAACUUCAUAA
Molecule: RNase P RNA, 378 nt
Filed under: Buchnera aphidicola (Cinara cuneomaculata)
Lineage: Bacteria; Pseudomonadati; Pseudomonadota; Gammaproteobacteria; Enterobacterales; Erwiniaceae
Description: RNase P, M1 RNA component
Rfam family: Bacterial RNase P class A
About the family: Ribonuclease P (RNase P) is a ubiquitous endoribonuclease, found in archaea, bacteria and eukarya as well as chloroplasts and mitochondria.
Source: RNAcentral